RNAcentral lists this ribosomal RNA (432 nucleotides) under uncultured bacterium. RNAcentral's name for it is "bacterial SSU rRNA". It matches the Rfam family "Bacterial small subunit ribosomal RNA", at positions 957 to 1391 of the family's 1533-position model. The record is from RNAcentral.
GAACGCGAAGAACCUUACCAAGUCUUGACAUCCUUUGACCACUCUAGAGAUAGAGCUUUCCCUUCGGGGACAAAGUGACAGGUGGUGCAUGGUUGUCGUCAGCUCGUGUCGUGAGAUGUUGGGUUAAGUCCCGCAACGAGCGCAACCCUUAUUACUAGUUGCCAGCAUUGAGUUGGGCACUCUAGUGAGACUGCCGGUGACAAACCGGAGGAAGGUGGGGAUGACGUCAAAUCAUCAUGCCCCUUAUGACUUGGGCUACACACGUGCUACAAUGGAUGGUACAACGAGCAGCGAACUCGCGAGGGUAAGCGAAUCUCUUAAAGCCAUUCUCAGUUCGGAUUGUAGGCUGCAACUCGCUACAUGAAGCCGGAAUCGCUAGUAAUCGCGGAUCAGCACGCCGCGGUGAAUACGUUCCCGGGUCUUGUACACACC